RNAcentral lists this transfer RNA (73 nucleotides) under Capsicum annuum. It matches the Rfam family "tRNA". Rfam says of the family: Transfer RNA (tRNA) molecules are approximately 80 nucleotides in length. Their secondary structure includes four short double-helical elements and three loops (D, anti-codon, and T loops). Lineage: Eukaryota; Viridiplantae; Streptophyta; Magnoliopsida; Solanales; Solanaceae. The record is from Rfam by way of RNAcentral.
ACAUACUUGACUCAGCGGUUAGAGUAUCUCUUUUAUAUGGCUAGAGUCAUUGGUUCAAAUCCAAUAGUAGGUA